GACAGAGGGUGCAAACGUUGUUUGGAUUUACUGGGCGUAAAGCGCGUGUAGGUGGCUUCGUAAGUUGGAUGUGAAAUCCCACGGCUCAACCGUGGACGUGCAUCCAAAACUACGUCGCUGGAGUCUCGGAGAGGAAGGUGGAAUGCUUGGUGUAGAGGUGAAAUUCGUAGAUAUCAAGCAGAACACCUGCGGCGAAGGCGGCCAUCUGGACGGCUAUUGACGCUGAGACGCGAAAGCGUGGGGAGCAAACAGG
This 253-nucleotide ribosomal RNA is filed under the name uncultured bacterium. RNAcentral's name for it is "partial 16S ribosomal RNA". It matches the Rfam family "Bacterial small subunit ribosomal RNA", at positions 524 to 776 of the family's 1533-position model. The record is from RNAcentral.